This 1322-nucleotide ribosomal RNA is filed under the name Papilio macilentus. RNAcentral describes it as "16S ribosomal RNA". The record is from RNAcentral. Lineage: Eukaryota; Metazoa; Arthropoda; Insecta; Lepidoptera; Papilionidae.
GGGGGAAAAAUUAAUAAUAAAUUAUAAAAAAAAAAUUUUUAAAAAUAUAUUUAAUGGGGGUUAAAGUAUAUAUAUAGAAAAAAUUUUAAGAUUUAUAGUGAAAUAGUAUUAUAAAAGAAUUUAGAAAUAGGGGAAAAUAAUUUGUAGGAAAGUAAAUUUAGUUUAUUGUAUCUUGUGUAUCAGAGUUUAUUAAUAAUAAUUAUAAAAUAAUAAUUUCUCGAAUUUAAAAGAGUUAAUUAAUUAUAAAAGUUAAUGUGGAAUAAUUAUUUUUAAUAAUUAAUUGGAAAUGAGAUGUUAAUCGUUUUUAAAAAUAUCUAGUUUUUUUAGAAAAAAAUUUAAUUUUAAAUAUUAAAUUUAAAAUUUUUAUUAUAAAAAUUUUUAUUGAUUAAUAUUAAAUAUUUUAAGGGAUAAGCUUUAAAAUAAAUUUUUAUAAUAAUUUUUUUUUAAUUAUAUUAAAAUUAUAAAAUUUAAAUUAUUUUAUAAAUUAUAAUUUUUUAUAAAUAAUUUAAUUUAAAUUAAAAUUUUAAAAAAAAUUUAAAUUUUUAUAAAAAAAUAUAUUUUAAUAGAAUAAAAUUAGAUAUAAUGAUAAAAUUAGUAUAUAAUUUUUUUAAGAAAAAAAAAAUUAUUAAAAGUUAAUAAAAGGAAUUCGGCAAAAUUUUAUAUUCACUUGUUUAUCAAAAACAUGUCUUUUUGAAAAUAAUUUAAAGUCUAAUCUGCCCACUGAUAAAAUAUUAAAGGGCUGCAGUAUUUUGACUGUACAAAGGUAGCAUAAUCAAUAGUCUCUUAAUUGGUGACUUGUAUGAAAGAUUGGAUGAGAUAUAUACUGUCUCUAAUUAAUUUAUAGAAAUUAAUUUUUUAGUAAAAAAGCUAAAAUAAUUUUAAAAGACGAGAAGACCCUAUAGAGUUUAAUAGUUUAUUUAAUUAUUAUUAAUAUAUAAUUUUUAAAAUUAAAAUUAAAUGAAUUAUUUUGUUGGGGUGAUAGAAAAAUUAAAUUAACUUUUUUUAAUUAUUAACAUUAAUUUAUGAUUAAAUGAUCCAUUUAUAAUGAUUAAAAGAAAAAAUUACCUUAGGGAUAACAGCGUAAUUUUUUUUUUUAGUUCAAAUAGGAAAAAAAGUUUGCGACCUCGAUGUUGGAUUAAGAUAAAAUUUAAAUGCAAAAGUUUAAAAUUUUGAUCUGUUCGAUCAUUAAAAUCUUACAUGAUCUGAGUUCAAACCGGUGUAAGCCAGGUUGGUUUCUAUCUUUAAAUAAUUAUAAUAUUUUAGUACGAAAGGAUCAAAUAUUAAAAAUAAUUUUAAUUAAAUGAAUAUUAUUAAUAGUUAAU